RNAcentral lists this ribosomal RNA (435 nucleotides) under uncultured bacterium. RNAcentral describes it as "partial 16S ribosomal RNA". It matches the Rfam family "Bacterial small subunit ribosomal RNA", at positions 29 to 507 of the family's 1533-position model. The record is from RNAcentral.
AGCGAACGCUGGCGGCAGGCUUAACACAUGCAAGUCGAACGGGCAUCUUCGGAUGUCAGUGGCAGACGGGUGAGUAACACGUGGGAACGUACCCUUCGGUUCGGAAUAACUCAGGGAAACUUGAGCUAAUACCGGAUACGCCCUUUUGGGGAAAGGUUUACUGCCGAAGGAUCGGCCCGCGUCUGAUUAGCUUGUUGGUGGGGUAACGGCCUACCAAGGCGACGAUCAGUAGCUGGUCUGAGAGGAUGAUCAGCCACACUGGGACUGAGACACGGCCCAGACUCCUACGGGAGGCAGCAGUGGGGAAUAUUGGACAAUGGGCGCAAGCCUGAUCCAGCCAUGCCGCGUGAGUGAUGAAGGCCUUAGGGCUGUAAAGCUCUUUUGUCCGGGACGAUAAUGACGGUACCGGAAGAAUAAGCCCCGGCUAACUUCGUG